UUUACCUACGGGAGGCAGCAGUGGGGAAUAUUGCACAAUGGGCGAAAGCCUGACGCAGCAACGCCGCGUGAAGGAAGAAGGGUUUCGGCUCGUAAACUUCUAUUAACAGGGACGAAAGAAAUGACGGUACCUGAAUAAGAAGCCCCGGCUAACUACGUGCCAGCAGCCGCGGUAAUACGUAGGGGGCAAGCGGUAUCCGGAAUUACUGGGUGUAAAGGGUGGGUAGGCGGCAUGGUAAGCCAGAUGUGAAAGCCUUGGGCUUAACCCGAGGGAUGCAUUUGGAA
This 284-nucleotide ribosomal RNA is filed under the name uncultured bacterium. RNAcentral's name for it is "partial 16S ribosomal RNA". It matches the Rfam family "Bacterial small subunit ribosomal RNA", at positions 334 to 632 of the family's 1533-position model. The record is from RNAcentral.